GCGCUCGUAGCUCAGCUGGAUAGAGGAUCCGCCUUCUAAGCGGUUGGUCGCAGGUUCGCGCCCUUCCGGGUGCGCCA
RNAcentral lists this transfer RNA (77 nucleotides) under Pseudomonas moraviensis. Its description in RNAcentral is "tRNA-Arg". It matches the Rfam family "tRNA". Rfam says of the family: Transfer RNA (tRNA) molecules are approximately 80 nucleotides in length. Their secondary structure includes four short double-helical elements and three loops (D, anti-codon, and T loops). Lineage: Bacteria; Pseudomonadati; Pseudomonadota; Gammaproteobacteria; Pseudomonadales; Pseudomonadaceae. The record is from RNAcentral.